GGGGAAAAUGGCCUAAUGGUGGUGCAGAGGGAGAACAUUAAGGGAAAUCAUGCAGCGCAUGUGGGAAAGCAGCUGUUGAGGCAAGGGUAUAAGCCACCUUGUAUGUGAUCCUGUGAUCAUUACUCAGGCAAAACUCUCAGUGAAGCCAACUGAAGUUUAAUCUGAAUAAACACAGUGGUAUUAGUCUCACCCUGUGUAGAUUGUAUAUAGCUGUAGGACUUGGUGGUGUGUAAGUGACUUUGUUGGCCUUUUUUAGCUAGAGCAUUCUAAAUAUCCACUUUUGUUACUAACAUGUGAAAAGCCCAGAAUGAUAUUGUACCUGCCAACAUCCUGCAACAAAAAAGCAGUAGAUUGUUCAUUUGCUUAAUUGUUCAUAUAUUUGCAUAAAAUCAGGCAGAACCCAUUAUAAGAAUGAGCAUGCCCAUUUUAAAGUUAUACUAUAAUAAGGUGCCAGUGUGGGGAGAUAACUGCAUGCAUUUUGGGGGUAUCUAGAUUGCUUAUCCUAGGUGCCAUACAUGCGAGUUGAGGAAAUAAAUACAUUUCCAACAAUAUUUCUAUUCCCCUUUUCAUGAUGACAAGUCUUAAGAGGCCAAUUUCAAACUUGAAUAGGAUGAAAUAGGAAAUCUGACAAACAUGGAUAUUAAAAAUAGAAAAAGGAAAAUGUUUUCUUAGAGUAAAUGCCUUGUCAGAGUCUCUGGUGAAUCUGGAUUUGGAUAAUCUACAUCAUGAGAGAAGCAAGGGGAACAGAAGAUUACUUUUAAAUAUUUUAGAGCCAGAGCUAUGGUUCUGCACAUGCAAAAACCACUCUCAGCUUUCAAAUAAUAGCUACCUCUCUUCCCCACUGAGCCAAGAACCAACUAAAGCAGUAGACUGGUCAGGUUUCCCCCUAGAUCAGAAAGAAGGGCUGACAGGUAGUACUCUACCUAAAGUACCUAAUCUUUGUUUUCACACAGUCCCCAUCAGUGCAGAAUCUGAAGGCCCAGGAAAAGCAGCAGAUCUGGCAGGUCUAAUCAUUCUCCAGACACUUGGCUAAAACAGCAAUCAGUGGCAUGCCGACAACUCGGGCCAAGAGUGUUUCUUCUGGGUCUGAGUAUUGUGGGGAUCUUUCAUGCGUGAAUCUCACCCCUCCUGCAUGGGGGACGAAUGGGGGAGGAGGUCAUGCACUGUCAUAUCAACUUCUCUCUUCAUUUCUUGGACCCCAGUUAAGAUUCUUUGCA
RNAcentral lists this long non-coding RNA (1217 nucleotides) under Chrysemys picta bellii (western painted turtle). RNAcentral's name for it is "lncRNA (ENSCPBG00000013262.1)". Lineage: Eukaryota; Metazoa; Chordata; Testudines; Emydidae. The record is from RNAcentral.